UGGUACAAAAGUUAUUGUGGUUUUUGCAAUUACUUUUAAUGGCAAAAAUCUCAAUUACUUUUGCACCAACCUAAUAC
Molecule: microRNA precursor, 77 nt
Filed under: Pan paniscus (pygmy chimpanzee)
Lineage: Eukaryota; Metazoa; Chordata; Mammalia; Primates; Hominidae
Description: miRNA (ENSPPAG00000006781.1)
Source: RNAcentral